UUGUAAUUGUUUGACAUGGCUUCUCUGUUUCAGAUGAGGGGUUACCUCAAUUAACCUACUGGUUGAUUGUUGGUCUACCAAUAGCAGCUGUUGGAGUUCUUGCAGCUGGUGUCUACAUGUUGAUAAAACAUAUUGAAGAGAAGAAGCGUAGAAAAGAUUUGGAAGAAAAAGAGAUGGAGUAUAGAGAACAAGGUAAGUGGUCUGUUGUCUUGUUA
Molecule: long non-coding RNA, 215 nt
Filed under: Salmo trutta (river trout)
Lineage: Eukaryota; Metazoa; Chordata; Actinopteri; Salmoniformes; Salmonidae
Description: lncRNA (ENSSTUG00000002522.1)
Source: RNAcentral